GACGAACGCUGGCGGCGUGCUUAACACAUGCAAGUCGAGCGAUGAAGUUUCUUCGGAAAUGGAUUAGCGGCGAACGGGUGAGGAACACGUGAAGAAUCUGCCCUCCACUUUGGGAUAACACCGGGAAACCGGUGCUAAUACCGAAUAUUGAAACAUAAGUGGCAUCACUGAGUUUUGAAAGAAUUUCGGUGGAGGAUGACUUCGCGGCCUAUCAGCUAGUUGGUGAGGUAAUGGCUCACCAAGGCAACGACGGGUAGCCGGCCUGAGAGGGCGACCGGCCACACUGGGACUGAGACACGGCCCAGACUCCUACGGGAGGCAGCAGUGGGGAAUAUUGGGCAAUGGAGGAAACUCUGACCCAGCGACGCCGCGUGCGGGAUGAAGGCCUUCGGGUUGUAAACCGCUUUCAGUAGGGAAGAAGCGAAAGUGACGGUACCUACAAAAGAAGCACCGGCUAACUAUGUG
RNAcentral lists this ribosomal RNA (465 nucleotides) under uncultured bacterium. RNAcentral's name for it is "bacterial SSU rRNA". It matches the Rfam family "Bacterial small subunit ribosomal RNA", at positions 28 to 507 of the family's 1533-position model. The record is from RNAcentral.